CUCGGAAACGGGGAGCCAACGCAUCCCCCACAGUCCAGUCAUUAAAAUAUGAUUUGAGCCCAUCUCCCAAAGAGAGAAUCCCAUGAAAGUAGCCCCUGUAAAGCUAAAUCCUUACGGGAUUUGAGUUGGCUUUUAGAACUUUGAUUAGAGCUUUUAAUGGGUAUGAUUGUAAUGGGCUUUGGGGUUUGAUACACAAGGGAAUAAGAAGAAGACAGAUUCCAAGAUAAAAGAAAUGAAUACAGAAGAACUACAGGUACUCAUAGUGGGGUCUUCGAGGGUGUAUUUUUUUGGGGAUACUAUGAUAAUGUGAGAAGGGAAAGGCAACUUCCAUGUGGAGGGUGAAUUAAUCAGGAAAUAAACCUUUUUUUUCUUUUACUUUUUGGACUCUCCCUUAUCUCUUUUGGUUGCUUCUUUUCUAAAGCUACUUCUUUUGCUGUCAAGCUCCACCC
Elaeis guineensis (African oil palm) is the source of this 449-nucleotide non-coding RNA. Lineage: Eukaryota; Viridiplantae; Streptophyta; Magnoliopsida; Arecales; Arecaceae. The record is from RefSeq and is a predicted model, not a curated record.